AUCCGACUGACGAGUCUGAAAUAGGACAAAACGCUCGUCCUGGAU
This 45-nucleotide non-coding RNA is filed under the name Schistosoma mattheei. Lineage: Eukaryota; Metazoa; Platyhelminthes; Trematoda; Strigeidida; Schistosomatidae. The record is from RNAcentral.